UCUCCGUAGGUGAACCUGCGGAGGGAUCACUAACGAACGGCCUCCGUGCCUUCGAACCUCAAACUCGUGGACCAAAACUCGUGGUUCGGCGGCCCCGUCCUGGGGCCGCCGUAUUUAUGCACAUAUGCCGUGGGCGUCGGAUCGAAACAAGAAUUAGUUAAAACUUUCAACAAAGGAUCUCUUGGCUCUCGCAUCGAUGAAACGCAGC
This 208-nucleotide unclassified non-coding RNA is filed under the name plant metagenome. Its description in RNAcentral is "partial contains small subunit ribosomal RNA, internal transcribed spacer 1, and 5.8S ribosomal RNA". The record is from RNAcentral.